CAGUCGCCACGGUAAUACGGAGGGGGCUAGCGUUGUUCGGAAUUACUGGGCGUAAAGGGAGCGUAGGCGGACAUUUAAGUCAGGGGUGAAAUCCCAGAGCUCAACUCUGGAACUGCCUUUGAUACUGGGUGUCUUGAGUGUGAUAGAGGUAUGUGGAACUCCGAGUGUAGAGGUGAAAUUCGUAGAUAUUCGGAAGAACACCAGUGGCGAAGGCGACAUACUGGAUCAUUACUGACGCUGAGGCUCGAAAGCGUGGGGAGCAAACAGGAUUAGAUACCCCAGUAGUCCCUGUCUCUUAUAC
RNAcentral lists this ribosomal RNA (301 nucleotides) under uncultured bacterium. RNAcentral's name for it is "partial 16S ribosomal RNA". It matches the Rfam family "Bacterial small subunit ribosomal RNA", at positions 509 to 807 of the family's 1533-position model. The record is from RNAcentral.